RNAcentral lists this ribosomal RNA (560 nucleotides) under Penicillium chrysogenum. RNAcentral's name for it is "eukaryotic LSU rRNA". The stretch from base 192 to 344 matches the Rfam family "5.8S ribosomal RNA". Lineage: Eukaryota; Fungi; Ascomycota; Eurotiomycetes; Eurotiales; Aspergillaceae. The record is from RNAcentral.
UGCGGAGGAUCAUUACCGAGUGAGGGCCCUCUGGGUCCAACCUCCCACCCGUGUUUAUUUUACCUUGUUGCUUCGGCGGGCCCGCCUUAACUGGCCGCCGGGGGGCUUACGCCCCCGGGCCCGCGCCCGCCGAAGACACCCUCGAACUCUGUCUGAAGAUUGUAGUCUGAGUGAAAAUAUAAAUUAUUUAAAACUUUCAACAACGGAUCUCUUGGUUCCGGCAUCGAUGAAGAACGCAGCGAAAUGCGAUACGUAAUGUGAAUUGCAAAUUCAGUGAAUCAUCGAGUCUUUGAACGCACAUUGCGCCCCCUGGUAUUCCGGGGGGCAUGCCUGUCCGAGCGUCAUUUCUGCCCUCAAGCACGGCUUGUGUGUUGGGCCCCGUCCUCCGAUCCCGGGGGACGGGCCCGAAAGGCAGCGGCGGCACCGCGUCCGGUCCUCGAGCGUAUGGGGCUUUGUCACCCGCUCUGUAGGCCCGGCCGGCGCUUGCCGAUCAACCCAAAUUUUUAUCCAGGUUGACCUCGGAUCAGGUAGGGAUACCCGCUGAACUUAAGCAUAUCAAU